CUAAGUGAAAGUCGGACGCUCAACCGACUAAGCCACCCAGGCGCCCCGCAGCUCACUCUUAAAGACCCGAAUACAAAGAACUCCCUGCUCUGUACAUGAAGAUGUGCAUUUGGCUGUGAAGACCGCGAGCACACACUGUCCUUCCCAGGGAGGGGCCCUCAUCCCAGCCCAUCUCUUCCACGGUGAAGCAGGUCAUCAAGAAAGAGGCCACAAGCCCUGCAGCCUGGCAGGGACCCCAACUCGGAAUGUCCUGUGGGUGCUCUGCGCGAGGUUUCCUUCGUCCCUCAAAUUUCUCGAAGCUGAGCAAGAGCAUGAGACGCAAGUUCCAAAUGGGAACUGAAGGCAGGCUGUUAUCACACGUACGCCGCUCCGCUUGUUUUCACAAGGAGUCGACACACGCUUCGUGUCCCUUCCGAUCAAGAGCUGCUCUGAUAAUAAUAGGCUGCAGUCACCAGACAGACAUGUAUGGGGCCACUCAGGGCAGGCCCUCGGGACCAACCGUGAUCCAGACCAACUCAGGCUCUGCUGGUGGGGAGCAAACGGGCUGGAGGAGGACACAGAAAAGCCUCAUUGUCCCAUCAAGAGAUGGAGCGCCAUGCUGGCCCAUGAAGGAGCACGGAGGGCCUGCAUGCUGGUUAGGCCCAGGAGGCUGCCUGGAGGAGGCAGCUGAAGACCAGA
Hyaena hyaena (striped hyena) is the source of this 678-nucleotide long non-coding RNA. RefSeq lists it as uncharacterized. NCBI's taxonomy places the organism in Eukaryota, Metazoa, Chordata, Mammalia, Carnivora, Hyaenidae. The record is from RefSeq and is a predicted model, not a curated record. The transcript is spliced from 4 exons.